UUGGUAGGGUAACGGCCUACCAAGGGUACGAUGGGUAGCUGGUCUGAGAGGAUGAUCAGCCACACUGGAACUGAGACACGGUUCAGACUCCUACGGGAGGCAGCAGUGGGGAAUAUUGGACAAUGGGCGAAAGCCUGAUCCAGCCACGCCGCGUGGGUGAUGAAGGCCUUCGGGUUGUAAAGCCCUGUCGGGAGGGACGAAUACUGACGGUACCUCCCAAGAAAGCACCGGCUAACUCCGUGCCAGCAGCCGCGGUAAUACGGAGGGUGCAAGCGUUGCUCGGAAUUACUGGGCGUAAAGCGUACGCAGGCGGUCUGAUAAGUCGGGUGUGAAAGCCCCAGGCUCAACCUGGGAACUGCAUCCGAAACUGCCAGACUUGAGUUCGGGAGAGGGAAGUGGAAUUCCUGGUGUAGAGGUG
Molecule: ribosomal RNA, 418 nt
Filed under: uncultured bacterium
Lineage: Bacteria
Description: bacterial SSU rRNA
Rfam family: Bacterial small subunit ribosomal RNA
Source: RNAcentral